This 978-nucleotide long non-coding RNA is filed under the name Homo sapiens (human). RNAcentral describes it as "HSALNT0314426". Lineage: Eukaryota; Metazoa; Chordata; Mammalia; Primates; Hominidae. The record is from RNAcentral.
GAACGCUUACGCUGGGCCAAAUUCAGCCUGUGCCUCUCCACAGCCAAUCCUGCACUUGCCGGCCCCUAACUCUGUAGCUGCACACAGGGCCUGGGCACUUGAGACCUCAGACUCGCCACCGGCUCCUCAGAGCCCCUGCCCAGGUCACCUGUGUAAGGAGAACACAGUGCCAAUGCAGCACAGCAUAGUGACACCCGGCCUGCCGGGAUUUAGCCCCCACCCUACCUAGCGGUUCUGGAGCUGCCACUGUGACCCAUGCAGGGUCGAGCAUCCCAGGCUCAUAGGAGGAAUGGACUUGCCUUGUCUCAGCUCGAAUUCUCUCUCCUGCCACCCUGAGAAGAGGUGCCUUCCACCAUGAUUGCACUCCCUCCAAGACAGACUUCUCUGUGGAAGCAGCAUAUUGGAGGCCUGCUAGGACAGUUCACAGGAAUGGCUGUGGAGGGCUGCAGGCAUGUCUCUAAUCAGAACCUGCUUGUCUUUUUGAUUGACAGCUGCACUUUCUCCACCAAGAAGUGGGUACUGUGCAAGUUAUGGUCAUAGUGAAGGUGGGGGACAUGGAGAUGAUCCCGAAUGAGCUGCAUAGGCCUCAUCGAAUCAGUGGAAAGCCUUGAGAACAGAGCCAAAGUUUCUCUGAGGAAGGGGAAAUUCUACCUGUAGACAGCAGCUUCAGUUCCUGCUGCAGUUUCCAGCCUGCCCUUCCUGAUGUCCUUCCCUGUGGAUUCCAGAUUUGCCAGCCAGUCCUCAUAGCCACAUAAGCCAAUUGCUUGUAAUAAAUCUCCUAGUGUUAAUGAUCCUUUAAUAAUAUACAUAUAAAUAAUAUAUCCUAGUAUUAAUAAAUCAAUCUCCCUCUCUCCAUCUCUCUCUCUCUCUCUCUCUCUCUCUCUCACACACACACACACACACACACACACACACACACACACGUCUUACUAGUUCUACUUCUCUGGUGGAACCUUGACUGAUAUAGAUGAGUAACCA